RNAcentral lists this unclassified non-coding RNA (1609 nucleotides) under Hevea brasiliensis (rubber tree). Lineage: Eukaryota; Viridiplantae; Streptophyta; Magnoliopsida; Malpighiales; Euphorbiaceae. The record is from RNAcentral.
UAAAUAUAAAAAUUAUAGAUUAUAUUUGAACAUAUGAAUAAUUCUUCAUUUGUGUGAAUAUACAUAUAGAUUUGUAAUUACAUAAGAUGCUACAUUAUGAAUUUGGUUUACGACUUCCCUCUUUGUACUGUAAGUUUUAUUUAUUUAAGGAAACAGGACUUGCGAAAGGAAAUUGUUCAAGACAGAACCACCACUUUGCUCAGAAUCCACAUCACCAAAGAGAACUCAAACGCAAAGAGUGUGUGAAGCAAUCCUCGAUCAAGUGCAAAUCCAAAUAGUGUGAUUCCUCCAUUGUUGUGUUGCAAAUAUGCCACAAAAGCCUGCCUGGUUUGGAAGGAAGAUGGAUCCUGUGAAGAAUCUGACACCAAAAUGUCCGAUAAAUUGGAAUCAGUAUCAGCAGUGUUGGAUACAAGAAUCCCAUCGGCCUCCGGCACAAGGCAUUUCCCUUGGUCUGAUCUGGCGGAUGCAGAUGUAACGAUCAUAUGCCAUCUAGUUGCUACGGACACGAUGCCUUGAGCUCUAUGUGUGAUUCUAGCUGCUCCCAAUAAGCAUAAGAAGAAUCCACUUAACUGAACCACUGAACAAAUCACAAGGUCCCCUGAAUUGACGAAAGUUUUGUCAGACUUGAAUGCCAGAACCAGCAACAAUGCUCCCAAUUGACUAAUGGAAAUGGCAACCAAACAAGCAAUGAUAAAGAAUCGGUAUCUGUGGCUGGUAACAGACAACUGUUUCUUUAUCCUAAGAUGCUCCCUGAAUAUGACACCAGCAUACGAUUCGCAUCCGUCGAACAACUUAUGAAGCCCUUCAAAUCUAAGUAUCUGAAGCUCACAAGUCAGCCGAAACAGAACGCAGACCAACAGGAAAACACCUGUCCUGUAAACCCACGAUGCCAACACCAACACAAACAUGAUAGAAUUCAACGGGACACCUGAACUGAUCAGGAAAGGUAAUGAUAUUUUCACUGUGGAGAAUAAGGUGAUUUUGUGUGCAAGUUCCACCAAAAAAGAUGGCAGUAAAAUGCAUGAGAGGAGUCGAAAAGCCUUAUCAAGCUCCCGGGAGUAUCCACGUCUCACGAACAAAGAAUCGUCCUGUAGCCCAUCCAGGAACAAGAGCUGGCGAAGACCAUAUUUUCUGAAAAAACGGGAUAGGGUCAAGAAAGCUAUUAGAGCCAAACCAGACUCAGGAAACUGCACCAGUUUGUUGAAAGAUAUGGGGUUAUCGGAUGGGACUUUAAUAGAGAGGCAGCUUAUGAUGGGGACAACAAUGGUGAAUAAUGUGGAUGCCAAGUAUGAUAUGAAUUUUCCUAUGCAAGAGGAAUGAUCAAGGGCACACCAUUUGAGGCUUAUUCGAAAAUUGCGUAGCUCAUCAAAAAGUAGGGAUUUUGAUCUUGCAUAUGAUGGUUGAAGUAACAAAGGGACAUUAGCAUCAUUGUUCUGAUCAGGUAAUGUCGUGGUCAUCACACGUCGAUCGGAGAAUUGGACAUCGAUAUGGGCGUCAGAAGAAGGGGUGGAGGUGAUCAUGGUUGGAGAUCCAAAUUCAAAAGAAUUUGGAUUUGAUAUAUGCACACAUUAGGUCUCUUGUAGGAGCCAGCAAGUGGCCUGUGAUUCUG